This 539-nucleotide small RNA is filed under the name Diaporthe sp. M35. Its description in RNAcentral is "eukaryotic LSU rRNA". The stretch from base 182 to 335 matches the Rfam family "5.8S ribosomal RNA". Lineage: Eukaryota; Fungi; Ascomycota; Sordariomycetes; Diaporthales; Diaporthaceae. The record is from RNAcentral.
AUCUGUCUGGAAAGCGCUCCCAGCGCGCACCAAAAACCCUUGUAAAUUAUACCUUUAACGCUGCCUCCGCGCAGGGCGGCCCCCCCGGGGGCCCCUCGCAGACGAGGAGCAGGCACGCCGGCGGCCAAGUUAACUCUCGUUUUUACACUGAAACUCUGAGAAAAAAACACAAAUGAAUCAAAACUUUCAACAACGGAUCUCUUGGUUCUGGCAUCGAUGAAGAACGCAGCGAAAUGCGAUAAGUAAUGUGAAUUGCAGAAUUCAGUGAAUCAUCGAAUCUUUGAACGCACAUUGCGCCCUCUGGUAUUCCGGAGGGCAUGCCUGUUCGAGCGUCAUUUCAACCCUCAAGCAUUGCUUGGUGUUGGGGGACUGCCUUUAAAGGGGCAGGCCCUGAAAUCUCGUGGCGAGCUCGCCAGGACCCCCAGCGCAGCACUUAAACCAUCGCUCUGCAGGGACGCGGCGGUGGCCUGCCGUUAAACCCCCAACUUUCGAAAAUUCGAGCUCGGAUCAGGUAGGAAUACACGAUUAACUUAAACUUA